RNAcentral lists this ribosomal RNA (829 nucleotides) under Streptomyces sp. MZ031280H. Its description in RNAcentral is "bacterial SSU rRNA". It matches the Rfam family "Bacterial small subunit ribosomal RNA", at positions 82 to 922 of the family's 1533-position model. Lineage: Bacteria; Bacillati; Actinomycetota; Actinomycetes; Kitasatosporales; Streptomycetaceae. The record is from RNAcentral.
CGGCCGGGGAUUAGUGGCGAACGGGUGAGUAACACGUGGGCAAUCUGCCCUGCACUCUGGGACAAGCCCUGGAAACGGGGUCUAAUACCGGAUAUGACACGCUCCCGCAUGGGAUGCGUGUGGAAAGCUCCGGCGGUGCAGGAUGAGCCCGCGGCCUAUCAGCUUGUUGGUGGGGUGAUGGCCUACCAAGGCGACGACGGGUAGCCGGCCUGAGAGGGCGACCGGCCACACUGGGACUGAGACACGGCCCAGACUCCUACGGGAGGCAGCAGUGGGGAAUAUUGCACAAUGGGCGAAAGCCUGAUGCAGCGACGCCGCGUGAGGGAUGACGGCCUUCGGGUUGUAAACCUCUUUCAGCAGGGAAGAAGCGAGAGUGACGGUACCUGCAGAAGAAGCGCCGGCUAACUACGUGCCAGCAGCCGCGGUAAUACGUAGGGCGCAAGCGUUGUCCGGAAUUAUUGGGCGUAAAGAGCUCGUAGGCGGCUUGUCACGUCGGAUGUGAAAGCCCGGGGCUUAACUCCGGGUCUGCAUUCGAUACGGGCAGGCUAGAGUUCGGUAGGGGAGAUCGGAAUUCCUGGUGUAGCGGUGAAAUGCGCAGAUAUCAGGAGGAACACCGGUGGCGAAGGCGGAUCUCUGGGCCGAUACUGACGCUGAGGAGCGAAAGCGUGGGGAGCGAACAGGAUUAGAUACCCUGGUAGUCCACGCCGUAAACGUUGGGAACUAGGUGUGGGCGACAUUCCACGUCGUCCGCGCCGCAGCUAACGCAUUAAGUUCCCCGCCUGGGGAGUACGGCCGCAAGGCUAAAACUCAAAGGAAUUGACGGGGGCCC